Molecule: long non-coding RNA, 920 nt
Filed under: Olea europaea subsp. europaea
Lineage: Eukaryota; Viridiplantae; Streptophyta; Magnoliopsida; Lamiales; Oleaceae
Source: RNAcentral
ACUCGUUUGAACGCCGUCAAUGAUUUAUUUAAACAACAAUAGAUGCGUGUUUUUGCUGUCUCACAAACGAAGCAGUUUGGUUCUGUCUUUCCCUAUUCUGGAAAGAAAAAUGUCUCGAUCAUUUUCAAAAGGCUAGACAGUUUACUAAUUGCAUAUGGAAAAUUUUGUUCAGAUACAGCAGAUCAGCUGCUUGACUUGGAAACUGUAAAAGAUGGAGGAACAGAAAAUGAGAACGGUGAAAGAAUCGCUGCUUUUGGUAUGAGAGGUAUAGGAAGUAUUUUAUUUAAAAAGGUAAGAUCAUCGACUUUAAUUGACAGUCCAAUUUGUUUUUUUAAGUAGAAGUUUGUUAAUUUUUGAAUAGUAUUAUCUCAAAAUUACAUAUGCCUACUCCAGAUCCGUGUACGUAUAAAUUUGUCAAGAUUUGGGAUUGGUAUAAUAUGGGAUUAUUACAAUCUUAUCUGAUAUAGUUUACAAUCUUAUCUGAUAUAGUUUAAGGGAAAAUUCUAUAAAAGUCUUAGGUAUAAGAACACGGAUUGCUUAUAGAAUCCAAAAUUUGCACAAGUUUGAGUCUAUACUAAGAUGAAUUAGUUCAUAGUAGGGUUUAAACAAUUUGCAUUUUGUUAUACAAUUAGUUUUAUUUAAACUGUAGUUUAAGUACGCCUUUAGAUAUUUGAUUAUUUUCUUUUAUGAAUACAAUUAAAUUGGUAAAUGUAGGAGGAAAUGGUGGCCAAUGACUGUCCCAUCGGCCACUUUUUCACAAGGGCCUUCACCAAAUUUUUUGUAAAUUAGAAUAUAAAAAAAGAGGGAAGAAGAAAAUGUAAACAAAAUUUAAAGGAUCGAAAAUACCCUCAUUUGGAAAGAAGAGAAAAGGAAAAUAGAGAAAAAAAAAAGAAAAAAGUAGUUCGGAUCCACGUCGCCUA